This 252-nucleotide unclassified non-coding RNA is filed under the name uncultured fungus. Its description in RNAcentral is "sequence contains ITS2". Lineage: Eukaryota; Fungi. The record is from RNAcentral.
AACGCACAUUGCGCCCAUUAGUAUUCUAGUGGGCAUGCCUGUCCGAGCGUCAUUUCAACCCUCAGACACCCGUGUCUGGCGUUGGGGCGUUCUAUAGCGGUUGCUAUAGGCUCCGAAAACCAGUGGCGGGCCCGCCGAGAGCCUAAACGCAGUAGUUUCUCGUUUUUGGCAUCUUGGUGGCUGCUCAGCCGGUAAACUUCCAAUUUUCAGAAGUUUGACCUCGGAUCAGGUAGGAUUACCCGCUGAACUUAA